AAGGGGAGCAAUCCCUGAGUAGAGUGGCAAACGGGUGAGUAACACGUGGGUGACCUGCCUUCGAGUGGGGGAUAACGUCCCGAAAGGGACGCUAAUACCGCAUGACAUCCUGCUCUUGGACGAGCGGAGAUCAAAGCUGGGGAUCGCAAGACCUGGCGCUUGAAGAGGGGCCCGCGCCUGAUUAGCUAGUUGGUGAGGUAACGGCUCACCAAGGCAACGAUCAGUAUCCGGCCUGAGAGGGCGGACGGACACACUGGGACUGAGACACGGCCCAGACUCCUACGGGAGGCAGCAGUGGGGAAUUGUUCGCAAUGGGCGCAAGCCUGACGACGCAACGCCGCGUGGAGGAUGAAGAUCUUCGGG
RNAcentral lists this ribosomal RNA (363 nucleotides) under uncultured bacterium. RNAcentral's name for it is "bacterial SSU rRNA". It matches the Rfam family "Bacterial small subunit ribosomal RNA", at positions 72 to 422 of the family's 1533-position model. The record is from RNAcentral.